RNAcentral lists this ribosomal RNA (465 nucleotides) under uncultured bacterium. Its description in RNAcentral is "partial 16S ribosomal RNA". It matches the Rfam family "Bacterial small subunit ribosomal RNA", at positions 339 to 795 of the family's 1533-position model. The record is from RNAcentral.
CUACGGGGCGCUCCAGCGAGGAAUUUUGCGCAAUGGGGGAAACCCUGACGCAGCAACGCCGCGUGAGUGAAGAAGGCCUUUGGGUCGUAAAGCUCUGUCAACUGGGAAGAAGUUAACCAUGAUUAAUAGUUGUGGUUAUUGACGGUACCAGUGGAGGAAGCGCCGGCUAACUCCGUGCCAGCAGCCGCGGUAACACGGGGGGCGCAAGCGUUAUUCGGAAUCAUUGGGCGUAAAGGGCGCGCAGGCGGUCUUGUCAGUCAGGUGUGAAAGCCCGGGGCUCAACCCUGGAAGUGCACUUGAAACAGCAAGACUUGAGUACGGGAGAGGAGAGAGGAAUUCCUGGUGUAGAGGUGAAAUUCGUAGAUAUCAGGAGGAACACCGAUGGCGAAGGCAUCUCUCUGGACCGAUACUGACGCUGAGGCGCGAAGGCGUGGGUAGCGAACGGGAUUAGAUACCCCAGUAGUC